Molecule: non-coding RNA, 479 nt
Organism: Elgaria multicarinata webbii
Lineage: Eukaryota; Metazoa; Chordata; Lepidosauria; Squamata; Anguidae
Source: the annotation of a RefSeq genome assembly
UUUGUUCUUCAACACUUCUUCAGUCAAUCAUUGUCAAAGCAACAGAAGGGAAAAUGAUAUUUUGGCUUCAAUGUGUUUUCUUUUUAGCAUUCUUCAGAGGUGUGCAAUCAGAGGUCCAGCUGGUGGAGUCUGGAGGGGACGUCAAAAGGCCCGGAGAGUCCCUCCGCCUCACCUGUCGGGCCUCCGGGUUCACCUUCAGCAGCUAUGGCAUGCACUGGGUGAGACAAGCAUCUGGAAAAGGCUUGGAAUGGGUGGCAUACAGAUAUUCGUCUUACAUUUACUACUCAGAUAAAGUCAAGGGACGAUUCACCACCUCGAGGGAUGAAUCAAACAGCCUGUUUUACUUGCAAAUGAACAAUCUGAAACCUGAAGACACAGCAAUGUAUUACUGUGCAAGAGACACAGUGAGGGGAAGUGAAUCGGAAGUCUGGCAAAAACUAAUGGCAUCUCUCCAAGCUGACUCAAAUGCAAGAGCUUGA